CUCACCUGUAUGUUGGUGUUUACCAUUAUUGCUGCCGUCCUUGGAAUGUUCCAAUUUGGCUACAACACUGGAGUUAUUAACGCCCCUCAAAAGUUCUUCGGUGUAAUCUGAUGUUCAAGCUUUUGUAGUGAAGGACGAGCUCAGGAAGAAGGACCAGUUGGUUUCAAGAAGGUUUAUUUCUCAGGGAAACUGACCUUAUAUUUGUUGUUCAGGCUUCUGUAGUGAAGAACGAGCUUAGGAGGAAGGACCAGUUGGUCACAAGAAAGAUUACUUCUAAGGGAAACUGGCCUUAUAUUUAUUGGCCAUAAUUUGACUAAUAAACUCAUGUUUUUGUUGUUAAUUUGAAAUUGUGCAUUCAAUUCAGUAAGAUUGAGUUACCAAUG
Molecule: long non-coding RNA, 383 nt
Organism: Limulus polyphemus (Atlantic horseshoe crab)
Lineage: Eukaryota; Metazoa; Arthropoda; Merostomata; Xiphosura; Limulidae
Exons: 2
Source: RefSeq, a predicted model, not a curated record